Pelodiscus sinensis (Chinese soft-shelled turtle) is the source of this 1242-nucleotide non-coding RNA. NCBI's taxonomy places the organism in Eukaryota, Metazoa, Chordata, Testudines, Trionychidae. The record is from RefSeq and is a predicted model, not a curated record.
CACAAUCAUGUCAAUCUCCAAAUCUUUUAAGAGGUGAGAGAAGAGUUUAAAGAUAUUUGUACGGAAAGACUUGAGCCUCUGGACUUUCCCUCUUCCUUUUCCUCUUCUUUUCAUUUCUGCAUUCUCUCUUAGUUCCUCUCUCUGCCUUGUUUUGUCAAUAAAAUGUAUUUAGAAGGGGAGUGAAAUUACCAGUUGGAAAGAAACACGAAGGGACUGUUUAAGCUUGGGAUAUUGAUAAGCAGAAGCCACGCUGGGAUUCGCUGAAUCUUGCAGUCUAACUGACCUAGAAAGGAAACAUUUCGAAGGAGGAGAUGAGAGCACUCCAGGUAUGAAAGAGAAGGCGAUAUAGACAGAGAUGCACACACAAGUAGAGAAAUUUACAAAUUGUAUGUCCCAGGAGUGACAGUAUUUGGCAAGGUUAGGUUUUUUAUUGCUGUACAACCAUUUAUACAAUCUACCUUUUCAAACAAUGUUGAAAAUGCAUUUUAAUGACAUACAAGUGGGAGGCCCUCUUUCUUAAAAUACUUUCAUUUGCCUAAUUAAAAUGGUUCUAUUUCCCAUCCACAGAUAGCAGAACAUUCCCAUUCAGUCUUUUGUUGCAUGAUAAGGAGUAAGGAAAGCAACUAAAUAAAGUAAGAACAAACAUAAGGUGGGAGUGCACAGUGGCAAAAUCUGCAUACCAGCUAUUUUUGAAAUGUUUCACAGUUGUGAGUGUCUUACCAUCAACUUCAGUGGAUCCAGGAUCUCACCCUUUAUAAUUAAAGAUACAACUCCCAGAAACGAGAUUUUUUUCAUCACCCUAACAUUUACAUAACCACAUGGGCAUGGCAGAUAUAGGAAAUACAGAGUUAGAAGCUGGGAAAGAGAAAGAGGAAUUUCUCCAAGUAGAAGGAAACUGGAGUGAUUUCAAUUUUGUAACUAAUUCAGAAGGUAAAUUUGAGUUAAAUUAUACUGUUCAAUGGCUAUUUGGAGAAUGUGAUUAGAAUAAUGAACUUUAAAUAAGAAUAAUCACUCUGAUAAUCAGGAUUUCAAUUUUAAACACAGAUUUAUUUGUGUACUUAGCUCUUUUCAACCCUGAAAUUCUUCCUUUUUGGAAAGAGAUAUCUAAAUGUGUCAGUGAUGGAGCUCACUAAUAUAGAGGCAGCUUAUGGUAGCAGCCGAGAUCUCAAGUGAACCCUUGCACCACCAGUCACAGACACCAGGGGUGUGUCUAGACUACUGAGUUUUGUCGACAAAAGUGGA